RNAcentral lists this ribosomal RNA (258 nucleotides) under uncultured bacterium. Its description in RNAcentral is "partial 16S ribosomal RNA". It matches the Rfam family "Bacterial small subunit ribosomal RNA", at positions 98 to 354 of the family's 1533-position model. The record is from RNAcentral.
CGGGACGGGUGAGGUAACGCGUGGGUAACCUGCCUCAUACAGGGGGAUAACAGUUAGAAAUGACUGCUAAUACCGCAUAAGCGCACAAAACCGCAUGGUUUGGUGUGAAAAACUGAGGUGGUAUGAGAUGGACCCGCGUCUGAUUAGCUAGUUGGAGAGGUAACGGCUCACCAAGGCAACGAUCAGUAGCCGACCUGAGAGGGUGACCCGGCCACAUUGGGACUGAGACACGGCCCAAACUCCUACGGAAGGCAGCAG